CCAACGCACAAGGCGUUUCUUUUGUUUCGGUUGCAGUCGAAGAUUUAGGGCUUCACAAAUGUUGAGCGGUGGAGAGGGCAGGUAUGCUUGUACCCAUUUUUCAGAUGGAGGAGAAGCAGCAAUCAUUUGACAUGACCGUGCUGAUAACUGCAAUGAGUACCAAAGCCACCAGUGUAUUCUCCAGAUGUUCCUCCAGCCACACGCCAGUGUGUGAUUGACAUCGACCAAUGCAGCAUUCCAGGAUCAGCCAGCACCAGCGAAGGCCUGGGCUUCUAGCUCGUACAAACAACUCGUAUUAAAUUAUUUAGUCCGCAAAUGACUAUUAAAGCGCUGUGCCAGAGUAGAAGCCACAGAAAGGCCAGAUUCGAGUAACAACAGCAUUGUCUGCUUCAAUUAAUUAUUGAAUUUUUUAAGGGCCCACAAAUGGAUAAACACAAUUCAUUGCUUGCUCUGGGGAGCCAGGGUCUCUGGGAGCAUUCACAAAGUAUGUGAGCUCUCUGGAGCGGAUCAGUGUGUGCUGGAGAUGGGAGCCAGGAGCUGGGCUGCACUGCAGGUGACCUUCUGAGGCCCAGUGGGCCUCUCGGUUCAGUGUCUGUAGGGAAAUUAAUACUUGCACCCCACUCCAUGGCCAGCCCUGGCCUGCACGCCCCAAGCUGCCCUUGAACAUCUGGCCAUGGCUUGCCUUCUUUUUGUCUUUUUAUCAGCCAUAACUUACAAUGUCCUCUCCAUCACACAGUCUGGCUUGUUUCUCUGACCCACUGCAGAGGUCAGGUGGAAAUCUUUGUGUGCAGAUUCCCUGGCAAUUGAAUUUUGAUCCAUUUAAGUCGGCCUGCUUCCUUCUGGACCAGAGCUCUUCUAACAUGCAAGCCACGUCAUCCGGUUCUGAGACAGGACCUUGAAGAGAAUGUAAUGUUUCUAGAAGAAUGAAGUUGGCUUCAGGCAUAUGCAGCCAUGAUGCUGAAGCUGGAUUAGUUGCAUGCCCUGGGCUCCUUACCCAGCACCGAACGCCCCUGGGCUGUGCCCUCUGCAGAGUGUUUGAGUCGGCUUCUGUUGUUACCUGUGUCCUCCAGCCCCACAGGGUCCAGCAGGAUAAUCUUCACCAUCCACACCACUACACUUGGCCAGUGUUCUGCUUCUACACUGCUAGGUAUAAUACAAACCCCCAAACUUAAAGGGGCAUUUACUAGGAGCUAAGGGGCUGAGUGGGUAGGAUACUGCCCUCCCAAAAUCAAUGUUGCCUGCAACCCUAGAAUCUGACUGCCUUUGCAAUUAGGGUCUCGGCAGGUAGAAAACGGUGAGACUCUUAAGAUGGGGUCACCCUGGGUUUCUGGGUUCCUGUGGGAAGAAGGAAUAUGGAACAUGGAGCCUUGGAGGGAGUGUGGUCCUGUGGACAGUUUGAUUAGCACUGUAGUUCAGAGACUGUGUGCCCGUGGUUCAUGUCGACACUUGGAACAUUCCUAAGAAACUAAUGCAGAGGUAAUGUUGCCCAAAAAACUGUUGCCUUUCAAUAGUUUUACAUGUUAUAUUU
Molecule: long non-coding RNA, 1528 nt
Organism: Onychomys torridus (southern grasshopper mouse)
Lineage: Eukaryota; Metazoa; Chordata; Mammalia; Rodentia; Cricetidae
Exons: 3
Source: RefSeq, a predicted model, not a curated record